UAACAGCUGGAAACGGCUGCUAAUACCGCAUAAGCGCACAGAGCUGCAUGGCUCAGUGUGAAAAACUCCGGUGGUAUGGGAUGGGCCCGCGUCUGAUUAGGCAGUUGGCGGGGUAACGGCCCACCAAACCGACGAUCAGUAGCCGGCCUGAGAGGGCGACCGGCCACAUUGGGACUGAGACACGGCCCAAACUCCUACGGGAGGCAGCAGUGGGGAAUAUUGCACAAUGGGGGAAACCCUGAUGCAGCGACGCCGCGUGAGCGAAGAAGUAUUUCGGUAUGUAAAGCUCUAUCAGCAGGGAAGAUAAUGACGGUACCUGACUAAGAAGCCCCGGCUAACUACGUGCCAGCAGCCGCGGUAAUACGUAGGGGGCAAGCGUUAUCCGGAUUUACUGGGUGUAAAGGGAGCGUAGACGGCAAGGCAAGUCUGAUGUGAAAACCCAGGGCUUAACCCUGGGACUGCAUUGGAAACUGUCUGGCUCGAGUGCCGGAGAGGUAAGCGGAAUUCCUAGUGUAGCGGUGAAAUGCGUAGAUAUUAGGAAGAACACCAGUGGCGAAGGCGGCUUACUGGACGGUAACUGACGUUGAGGCUCGAAAGCGUGGGGAGCAAACAGGAUUAGAUACCCUGGUAGUCCACGCCGU
This 641-nucleotide ribosomal RNA is filed under the name uncultured bacterium. Its description in RNAcentral is "bacterial SSU rRNA". It matches the Rfam family "Bacterial small subunit ribosomal RNA", at positions 144 to 803 of the family's 1533-position model. The record is from RNAcentral.